GGCGGCGGCGGCGGCGAAUCGAGCAGGCGCGGCGGGCAUGGCGGCGGCGGUGGAGAGCGUGGUGGUGGUCCACAACGUGGCGAAGCGGCACAACGUGGGGACACUGGCGCGGAGCGCGACGGCGUUCGGCGUCGCGGAGGUGGUCGUCGUCGGCCGCCGCGACGUCAGCGCCUUCGGCAGCCACGGCGCCACCUCACACCUCCGCUUCCGCCACUUCGCCUCCCUCGCCCUCGCCCGCGCCUACCUCAAGGAAGAGAGAGGGUGUGACAUUUGCGGCGUGGAGAUCACCGAAGACGCGAAGCCGGUGACCGCGCAUCCGUUCCAUCGGAGCACAGCGUUUCUCUUUGGCAAUGAGGGCACAGGACUCUCACAGAAAGAGUGUGAUAUCUGCGACUUCUUUGUCUACAUUCCUCAGUAUGGUGGUGGAACUGCAUCUCUCAAUGUUACCGUUGCAGCUUCAAUUGUUCUCCACCACUUUGGGGUCUGGGCUGGCUUUCCUGAACGAGGCCGAGAGGGCAACAAAUUCAUUGUGGCUGAUAGACCACAGGGGCAUUCAAGGGGCCUUUACUGCACAGACUCAAUUGAAGCAGUGAUUGAAGAGCGGAAAAUGCGAAAAGAAAAUGCAUGUGAUAUACUUGAGGAAAAUGGAGGCAGCCAUCCUCAGGAAUCAAAUGGCCUAGAUUUGAUGUUUACGGACUAGACAGUAUUGCAUCUCUGUUGUUGAAUCAAGUCACAGCUUAGGUGUCGAUGACACAAAUUCGCAAUACUACAAUGCAUGACAGGAAUCCCUUUCCAAGGGAAAGAAGUAGAACACUUUUUGUUUUUUUGCUAGCUUGGCAUGGAGAAGGUGCACCGACCUUUUUGUGAAGCCAUGGGGGAUGGUUAAUAGUGUACCUUGAAACCAAGGGUACAGGAAGUUGGAUGGUUUACUUCAAGGAUGAUUUUUCAACAUUAUCUUUGGGGAACUUGUAUUUUAUCUUCUAUUACGAAGCUUAUUUAUUGUUUGUUGCCAUCCUACGGGAUCUGAUUUUUUAUCCUUCAAGAUCAUGGAGGACCCCAGGCCAUGGGCUCACUCUUUGGUACUAGCAUCCUCGCCACUGAAUCAAUGGCAGGAGCAGCAACAGGGAGAAUUCCGUGGCUGUCUAUACAAUUCUGCUACAAAGAAUGAAUUAAUAAAGCACCCUAUUGGCUGUCUAUCCUUUGAAGUUUCAAGUUCCCCCUACAAAGGAUGAAUUAAUAAAGCGCCCUAUUGGCUGUCUAUACAAUUCUGCGUUGGGGGUAUCCAACUCUGUUGUUGAAUGGAGUCCCGUUGUCUGCUGACACAAACUUGCAGUAUAACAGCACAUAAUUGGGAUGUCUUUUGUUGACAGAGAAGUUGAACCCCAUGCGGCCAUGCAAAAUGAAAAAGGAAAAAAAAAAACAUUUGGAGUGGAAAAGGGGGUGGCAUAUA
RNA transcript from Sorghum bicolor (sorghum), 1450 nucleotides. It is a transcript of the gene named putative TrmH family tRNA/rRNA methyltransferase, with no coding region annotated. NCBI's taxonomy places the organism in Eukaryota, Viridiplantae, Streptophyta, Magnoliopsida, Poales, Poaceae. The transcript is spliced from 5 exons. The record is from RefSeq and is a predicted model, not a curated record.